UAGAUGCGAGAGUAGAGCAUAUCAAUAAGCGGAGGAAAAGAAACUAACAAGGAUUCCCUUAGUAACGGCGAGUGAAGCGGGAAGAGCUCAAAUUUGAAAUCUUCAAGGUUCUACCUUGACGAAUUGUAGUUUAUAGAAGUGUUUUCUGUUAGUGGAGUGGCAAAAGUUCUUUGGAAUAGGACAUCAUAGAGGGUGAGAAUCCCGUAUUUGGUCAUUCCUCCUAGCGUUGUGAUACACUUUCAACGAGUCGGAUUGUUUGGGAAUGCAGUCCAAAAUGGGCGGUAAAUUUCAUCUAAAGCUAAAUAUUGGCGAGAGACCGAUAGCGAACAAGUACCGUGAGGGAAAGAUGAAAAGAACUUUGAAAAGAGAGUUAAACAGUACGUGAAAUUGUCAAAAGGGAAGCGUUUGACACCAGUGUUGUUUUCUCGAAAAUCAAUUAAAAAUGAUGGGAUUUUGUGUUGUAUUGACUUUAUCAGCUUUCUGCACUUUUUUCUUAUCUUUUUUAAUGCACUUUUCGUUUAACAAGUCAACAUCAAUUUCUUUUGUUGUAAAAGAGUCAUUGGAAGGUGGCUUUUUCUUCGGAAAAAGUGUUUAUAGCCUUUGGCUUCUGCAAUCGGAGAGACUGAGGUCUGCAGCGUAGACUCUUCGGGGUUAAAUACAUUUGUGCUAAGCUAUAGCUUUUUAUAGACAACUUGUUGACUAUAUUUAGUCUUGUGGCUUACUCGCUUAUGCUAUUUUACCUACGCUUAGGAUGUUGACGCGCGUGUGUGCGUG
RNAcentral lists this ribosomal RNA (774 nucleotides) under uncultured Neocallimastigales. Its description in RNAcentral is "partial large subunit ribosomal RNA". It matches the Rfam family "Eukaryotic large subunit ribosomal RNA", at positions 22 to 625 of the family's 3401-position model. The record is from RNAcentral. Lineage: Eukaryota; Fungi; Neocallimastigomycota; Neocallimastigomycetes; Neocallimastigales.